RNAcentral lists this small RNA (25 nucleotides) under Bombyx mori (domestic silkworm). RNAcentral's name for it is "ovarian small RNA-31273". Lineage: Eukaryota; Metazoa; Arthropoda; Insecta; Lepidoptera; Bombycidae. The record is from RNAcentral.
UGACAAACGAAAUUGCUAAAUCUGC